Molecule: non-coding RNA, 27 nt
Filed under: Rattus norvegicus (Norway rat)
Lineage: Eukaryota; Metazoa; Chordata; Mammalia; Rodentia; Muridae
Source: RNAcentral
UACCAGGCAAACUGUGUCCUCCUUAGG